This 769-nucleotide ribosomal RNA is filed under the name uncultured bacterium. RNAcentral describes it as "bacterial SSU rRNA". It matches the Rfam family "Bacterial small subunit ribosomal RNA", at positions 28 to 776 of the family's 1533-position model. The record is from RNAcentral.
AUUGAACGCUGGCGGCAGGCCUAACACAUGCAAGUCGAGCGGCAGCGACUUAACUGAACCUUCGGGGAACAUUAAGGGCGGCGAGCGGCGGACGGGUGAGUAAUGCCUGGGAAUAUGCCCUGAUGUGGGGGAUAACUAUUGGAAACGAUAGCUAAUACCGCAUAAUCUCUUCGGAGCAAAGAGGGGGACCUUCGGGCCUCUCGCGUCAGGAUUAGCCCAGGUGGGAUUAGCUUGUUGGUGAGGUAAUGGCUCACCAAGGCUACGAUCCCUAGCUGGUCUGAGAGGAUGAUCAGCCACACUGGAACUGAGACACGGUCCAGACUCCUACGGGAGGCAGCAGUGGGGAAUAUUGCACAAUGGGGGAAACCCUGAUGCAGCCAUGCCGCGUGUGUGAAGAAGGCCUUCGGGUUGUAAAGCACUUUCAGUAGGGAGGAGGGUAGUGUAGUUAACACCUGCACUAUUUGACGUUACCUACAGAAGAAGCACCGGCUAACUCCGUGCCAGCAGCCGCGGUAAUACGGAGGGUGCGAGCGUUAAUCGGAAUUACUGGGCGUAAAGCGCAUGCAGGCGGCCUGUUAAGUCAGAUGUGAAAGCCCGGGGCUUAACCUCGGAAUUGCAUUUGAAACUGGCAGGCUAGAGUCUUGUAGAGGGGGGUAGAAUUUCAGGUGUAGCGGUGAAAUGCGUAGAGAUCUGAAGGAAUACCAGUGGCGAAGGCGGCCCCCUGGACAAAGACUGACGCUCAGAUGCGAAAGCGUGGGGAGCAAACAGG